GAUGAACGCUGGCGGCGUGCCUAAUACAUGCAAGUCGAGCGAACGGACGAGAAGCUUGCUUCUCUGAUGUUAGCGGCGGACGGGUGAGUAACACGUGGAUAACCUACCUAUAAGACUGGGAUAACUUCGGGAAACCGGAGCUAAUACCGGAUGAUAUUUUGAACCGCAUGGUUCAAAAGUGAAAGACGGUCUUGCUGUCACUUAUAGAUGGAUCCGCGCUGCAUUAGCUAGUUGGUAAGGUAACGGCUUACCAAGGCAACGAUGCAUAGCCGACCGGAGAGGGUGAUCGGCCACACGGGAACUGAGACACGGUCCAGACGCCUACGGGAGGCAGCAGUAGGGAAUCGUCCGCAAUGGGCGAAAGCCUGACGGAGCAACGCCGCGUGAGUGAUGAAGGCCUUCGGAUCGUAAAACUCUGUUAUUAGGGAAGAACAUAUGUGUAAGUAACUGUGCACAUCUUGACGGUACCUAAUCAGAAAGCCACGGCUAACUACGUG
Molecule: ribosomal RNA, 497 nt
Filed under: uncultured bacterium
Lineage: Bacteria
Description: partial 16S ribosomal RNA
Rfam family: Bacterial small subunit ribosomal RNA
Source: RNAcentral